AUGUACAGAGCCAAAGCAAGACAGGGAAGGUGGAACAACUUGGAUGAACUUCUUGAACAACUGGAUGCCCAGACCACAGAUCUAACUACUCAUAGAAGGUCUGCUGUUCUUCGUGGUCUUCCCCUGUACUUGAGAGAACCAGCUUCAAUUUCAAAGACUAUUAAGGAUACUGAGGCACUGGGGCUACACACAAACGCCAUGAAAAUGGGGAUCCUGGAAGUGACUGACAGUUCUACCAACUCAGGACCAUAUCCCACAGUGGUCAAUGUGGCUGUAGUACUGGAGGAGGAAGUUGUCAUGGACAAUCUGGGAGACUUCACAAAUGCCCUCAUGAUGCUUGUUUUGGCACUGUUUGAAUACUUGUGUAAUAUUUUACUUGAGCCUAACAGGCAAGUUCAUAUGUAUUUAAAUAAAUACAUAAAAUGUUCUUUAUCAAAGCAUAGUGUGUAA
This 450-nucleotide long non-coding RNA is filed under the name Carassius auratus (goldfish). Its description in RNAcentral is "lncRNA (ENSCARG00000009591.1)". Lineage: Eukaryota; Metazoa; Chordata; Actinopteri; Cypriniformes; Cyprinidae. The record is from RNAcentral.